GCCGGGCGCGAUGGCUCACGCCUGUAAUCCCAGCACUUUGGGAGGCCGAGGCGGGUGGAUCACCUGAGGUCAGGAGUUCGAGACCAGCCUGGCCAACAUGGUGAAACCCUGUCUCUA
Non-coding RNA from Gorilla gorilla gorilla (western lowland gorilla), 117 nucleotides. It matches the Rfam family "Metazoan signal recognition particle RNA". From Rfam's summary of the family: The signal recognition particle (SRP) is a universally conserved ribonucleoprotein. It is involved in the co-translational targeting of proteins to membranes. NCBI's taxonomy places the organism in Eukaryota, Metazoa, Chordata, Mammalia, Primates, Hominidae. The record is from Rfam.